UAUUGGACAAUGGGGGCAACCCUGAUCCAGCCAUGCCGCGUGUUUGAAGAAGGUCUUUGGAUUGUAAAGCACUUUAAGUGGGGAGGAAGGGCAGUAGGUUAAUACCUUGCUGUUUUGACGCUACCGACAGAGUAAGCCCCGUCUCGCUUCGUGCCAGCAGCCGCGGUAAUACGAAGGGUGCAAGCGUUAAUCGGAAUUACUGGGCGUAAAGCGCGCGUAGGUGGUUCAGUAAGAUGGGUGUGAAAUCCCCGGGCUUAACCUGGGAACUGCUUUCAUAACUGCUGAGCUAGAGUACGGUAGAGGGUAGUGGAAUUUCCUGUGUAGCGGUGAAAUGCGUAGAUAUAGGAAGGAACACCAGUGGCGAAGGCGACCACCUGGGCUAAUACUGACACUGAGGUGCGAAAGCGUGGGGAGCAAAC
This 419-nucleotide ribosomal RNA is filed under the name uncultured bacterium. Its description in RNAcentral is "partial 16S ribosomal RNA". It matches the Rfam family "Bacterial small subunit ribosomal RNA", at positions 362 to 773 of the family's 1533-position model. The record is from RNAcentral.